CCUACGGGAGGCAGCAGUGAGGAAUAUUGGUCAAUGGACGAGAGUCUGAACCAGCCAAGUAGCGUGAGGGAUGACUGCCCUCUGGGUUGUAAACUUCUUUUAUAGAGGAAUAAAACGAGUCACGUGUGCCUUUUUGCAUGUACUUUAUCUAUAAGGAUCUGCUAACUCCGUGCCAGCAGCCGCGGUAAUACGGAGGAUCCGAGCGUUAUCCGGAUUUAUUGGGUUUAAAGGGAGCGUAGAUGGGUUGUUAAGUCAAUUGUGAAAGUUUGCGGCUCAACCGUAAAAUUGCAAUUGAUACUGGCAGACUGGAGUACAGUUGAGGUAAGCGGAAUUCGUGGUGUAGCGGUGAAAUGCGUAGAUAUCACGAAGAAC
This 372-nucleotide ribosomal RNA is filed under the name uncultured bacterium. Its description in RNAcentral is "partial 16S ribosomal RNA". It matches the Rfam family "Bacterial small subunit ribosomal RNA", at positions 338 to 707 of the family's 1533-position model. The record is from RNAcentral.